This is a long non-coding RNA of Tupaia belangeri chinensis (Chinese tree shrew), 430 nucleotides long. RefSeq lists it as uncharacterized. Lineage: Eukaryota; Metazoa; Chordata; Mammalia; Scandentia; Tupaiidae. The record is from RefSeq and is a predicted model, not a curated record. The transcript is spliced from 3 exons.
GAUCAUCCUCCCACUUGCCUACAGCGCCGGGCUGCCAGGCUGCUGCCCACUGACCUGUGGAGCAGGUCGAAGAUUGGCUGCUCUCCACAAGAUACGUUCCCCCAACCCUCAGUGAAGAAAGCAACCUGGAACCAGGUGACAGGUCCUUAAAGAAGAAUGUCUCCAGAGCACAUGACCACGCCGUCUAGGCAGGACUCUCCAAGGGAAGAUUCCAACGCGUUUGGACCUUAUCUGGUUACUCCUUUCCGGGAGGUCUCCUGCCCUCUAUCCAGAGCGCUCGGUGUGGACAAGAUGCCUCGAGAAGGUCCAGCACCUGCGCCCAUAGAGGGCCCUGCGAGCGGUGGACCUCCUUUACAGGAGCUUGGCGGCAUUUCUUUUGAGACUUCGAGCGAACGUUGGCGCCACAAUGGUACUUACUCACUCACGAAUC